Ictidomys tridecemlineatus (thirteen-lined ground squirrel) is the source of this 1175-nucleotide non-coding RNA. The record is from RefSeq and is a predicted model, not a curated record. Lineage: Eukaryota; Metazoa; Chordata; Mammalia; Rodentia; Sciuridae.
GCACUCCCGAAGCCGGGCGGGUUGUGGCGUGGCUACGACGCCAGCUCUGGGGCCGGUCCCGCCCAGAUGCGGCUCACGGGAUCCCUGGAGCUGGGUUUCGGUUUUGCGAGCACUCCCAUUUCCGUGGUCGCUGUGCAUUAGCGCUAUAGCUCCCUGGCCUCCACCAGGCAGUUUAUCCCCAGAACUUGAGGCCGGUGGGGAAAGGCGGGGUAGGGAGAUUGUGGCACCUGGAGGGACUGCAGAGCCCCUUGGCACCUUGACUGGCCCGCCCUUAGACAUAGAGGCAGGAACUGUGGCUCCUGCUCCGAGGCCACGCAGAAGAGGGACUCACCUGCCAGGAAAGUCAGCUGCAGCGCCCCAGCUUCCUUUGCUUCUCUAACACAAGGGCCCUCAGGGACUGCACCAUAGAGGCCAACUGCCACCAGUUAUCAACCGGCCCACUGCUGCUCAGAGAACUUCUCCAAGGUUACCCAGUCCGCCAAUAACAGGGGCAGAAUUGGAAUCCAGAGCCCCGGGCUUAUCCCCCCAGGCUGCUUUCACUUUUCUUCUCUGGGAAGAUACCUGCUUCAUAGUUUGGCUCUCAUCCAAAUACCCCACCUCCCAGAGAACAUGGAGAACAAGGCCUCCAGAGUGCUCUCCACCUUUAACUGUGAGCCUGACAGUGCAGAUCCUUUUCACUGAAAAGUCUGCAUAUUGAGAGAAAAAUCUUGUCUGGGCCUUUAACCGGAGGUCAUAAUGAGGACUGAGUGAGGAGGCCUGCACUUUACUGCCUUUCCCUUUAUUGUGUGUCUGGGAUGUGGCAGGGGGCCAGCUGUGUUUGGGUCUCUAGCAGGAAGACAUUAAGUCACAUUUGUGGCUGCCAGGGCCAGGGUCCUGUCUGCCUUGAAGAGAUCCAGUUGCUGAACUGAUAGAGGUGGACUACUUUCCCUGCAGUUGUGGGGCACAGGAACUGACUGGCAUGGCUACUAGGUAUGGGAUCUGGUUUCAGCUUUGUCUUGGACUUGCUGUGAGACCUUGGCCAAUGCCUUUUCCUCUCUGGGACAGUCUGUCAUCCUAUCUCCACAAGGAUGGGACCCCAGAUGUGCUCUUUCCAUUCUCUGGACUACCUCUUUCCUGUGCCUACAAUGGCCUCCCAAUUAACAGUGAUUUUUCUUCUCUUCACACCAAUUUUAUUG